AGAAGAGAGCAAACAAAGAUGGAGAGCAGAAAAUUGCCUCAUCCAAGGGAACAUGCCUUUGUAAACAUGCCGGCUGAUCUUAGGUGUGAUGUUUAGCUGUACUCAUCUCUCGGCUUCUUCCCGUUGCCCUCCAGCUCGCUGUUGACUCGUUCACAUUGUAGGGAAAGAAAAGUUGUAAGAGCAAGCUGGCACAGAGGAAGGAAAGGGCUUUAAUGGAAAGCUUGGUGCCAAAGAAUGCUGCAGGAGGUGACAAGCCCCAAAUGAGAAGGAAAGUUACUAUUGCUGGAACCUGCUCAGAAAAAGCCAUUAUCCAAAUUAAGAUUCUACGAUCGAUGCCGACCAGCCAUUCCCUUCCCGGACCACUAUGUUGGUGCGUUUAACCUUCUGCGACAUCUACAUUACGCUUUGAGCUAUAGCAAAGCGUUUACCUGGGCAGUGAACUCUACCAAGCCACUUUCCAAAUCAGUGAUUUAUCUGAUACAUUUGUGACGAGGGAAGCCAUGUAAAAAGGUCUCGCUUUUCUGACCGAGAGACAUCCAACCCUGGAAAUCUGAUUUGAAGAUCUUUGAUCCUGGCCGUCUCUGAGGGAAACGCGGGCGGCAGAAUUUGUAUGAGCCGCAUCCUCCGUCAUGGGGCUGAGCAAAUCUCCCUUCACCUGGGAUUACCUGUGCAAAUUGAAUCUGAUGGCAUCGAACCCAAGAAGCAGGCUUGGUUAACUAACACUUGCGGAAAUUGCCUUGGGGUCCCCAGACGAAAGCUUAAAUGGACUGUAGCAACUGACGCCCGGUAUCAAAAGGAAGUCCAUUAUGCAGACAAUCAGACCACAAGUCAAUGAGGUUUCUAUGAGGGUUGAAGGGACUGGACCAGAAGAAGUUACUGGGACCCCAUUUAAACUCCAUUGAACUUCAUUAUAUGGGUCUACACUGACCAUAGAAUGCAGUUUCAUCCUAUGGUAGUGUAGAUGAGAUCUUAAUCAAUUCUAAGUUUAUAAGAUUCUAGCUUUUAUUUUUAGUACAAAAAAUGUUGUUUUAUGAAAGCGAAUAUGCAAAUGUUGUGCAGAAUAAGACAUGAAAUGCGAAUAUUUUUAACGGUAUGGAAUCCUUGUAAAAAAAGAAACAUGUUUCCCCGCCCUUUUUGAGAAUAUUUUCAAAUACUCUUCACAUCCUUGUUCAGACUAAAAUCCAGAAUGGAUUCUCCGCCCUGACAGUAGAGUCAUUGGCCAUCUUACUUCCCUCUCCAUCAUAGCUGUCGAUGUUGAUACAUAAAUCCCUUUGUAAGUUAUGUAAGUUAGUUUACUUUUAUUAGGACUACCAAUAGGAUACAGACCAAUGUUUUAGGGAACAUGUUAAAAUGUUAAAAUAAUCUCAAAACUGCAAUAUAAAUGCUGAAUAUCACGUCAGCCUGUCUGUUGAUUCUAGGCCUCCGGGGUUGUGCUUCACUUUGCCGUCUCCGGGAUGGAUUCAAGAACGUGAAAUUCCCUUGGCAUCCAUAAAUAACCCAGCGUUACUGCAGGGCCUCGAGGAGCUUUUGUAAAAUGCUGGCUCCUAACCCAACAAUAUUCAAUUAGUAUGUUUUGUUGAUUACCAUCUGGGUCACUGUUGUCAGAGUUACAGCUGGCUCGGUCCAGGCUCAUAGAUCAUAUUUGAGAAAAACCCACCUGGGGAAAACGGGAAGAUUAAAAAUACCCACGCACGCACAUACACACUCACAUACAAACAGUUGGGAACAUAAUACCAUUUCUGAGCCAUCUCAGGGCUGCUUUAUCGACCACACUGAAAUGACCAACUUUAUUAAUUUUUGUCCAGCUUAAAUAACAGGGAAAAAUAAUAAUAACAAAGCACUGAUGGGUUGCUCUCUUGUGAUCUUAUACUUUCCCAUAUAUCAAUUUAAUCCUUUUCCACUCAAAUGGCAUGUUGGAGUACCUGGAGUCCCAUUAUAUUGCAGAAUUCAAAGAGUUAGACCUCCAAAGUAUUAUGACACUGUCACCUGGAGAGAUAUAGGACUCUUUCAUACUAUACAGUCACGGUACAUUGCGUCCAAUUUAACUGCAAUGGCAUCCUCCUAAUGUUUUUACCUUGGUGAGGAAUUGGAGCUCUUUGACUAAGAAUUCUUAACAUCCUCUCCCUAAACUACAAAUCCCAGGAUUCCAUAGCAUGUUGCCAUGGCAAUUUAAGUGGAGCCAUAGCACUAUAACUGGGUAAUGUUGAAAGGGCCCAUAAAAAAUGUCUUUCUAUCCCAUGUACUUGGGCUUCUUUUUACAGAUCCCCCAAAUCCACUCAACAAUUCUUAACAACUAAUAUAUUGCUUUUUUAUUACUGGUGUCCCUUUCUUGUCCCAGAUAACGUAAUGUAUGUGGUGCAGCCAUUUUCUGUAAACCAUGACAUUGAGAAACAUAAAGGACAUAAUUCUUAUAGUCAGUAGGUCAUAGAUUAGAUAUGCAUUGGCCCUUAAACCACAUGUUGAUUUAUUGGAAUUUCCUAGGCUAGGAAUAUUAUUUAUUUAUUUACAGUAUUUAUAUUCCGCCCUUCUCACCCCGAAGGGGACUCAGGGUGGAUUACAAUGAACACAUAUAUGGCAAACAUUCAGUGCCAACAGACAAACAACAUUCAGUUUUAGACAGACACAGAGGCAUUUAACAUCUUUCCAGGUUCACGAUUCCGGCCACAGGGGGAGCUGUUGCUUCACCAUCCAUUGGUGGCUGUUCUUCCUCAUUCUUUUCCUCGUGAGCAAUUUUUAUGGUGUUGUAGAUUAGUUAAAUUAGCCUCCCACAUAAAACGUACCUAAAUACUCCUUUGAAAUGUAGCUUACAGCACCUGAAUUCAUUGACAGUGCCCCAUUCAAAUGCUAACCAAAGUUGACCCUGUUUAGCUUCUAAGAUGAGACAAAAUCUGGUACCUUUGGCAUAUUUAGACUGUAAGGAACUUGGAGUCUAUGGGCAGUCCAAGCAGAGGAGACCCAUGGAUUCAAAGGAGUCUAACCUAUGUGUUGAUUUACCGUUCAAUGGCUGGUGUUGUGGGUCUAGAAGGUUUCUGGUUUACAUGUAUAAAUAAAGUGAACCUUAACACUCAAGACAUUGGGAUCCCCAUGAUGAUGGCUAGAAAAUACUAUAGAUUCAUUGAAUGCACUGUAAAAAGAAAAAUCAACUGGAUGAAGAAGAAGUAACCUUUGAACCAUUGUGUCUUCUCUUUCCUAUUUCAUGUAUUUACCAAAUUUCAGCUCUACACUAUCCUAGCUCCAAGGAUCUCAGAAUAGUAUAAGCUUCCCCUACUCUUUAGAGAACCAGAGCUUUGUAGUGGUUUGAGUGUUAUGUUAUGACUCUGGAGAUCAGGGUUUGAUUCCUUGUUUGCUCAUAGAAACCCACCGUGUCACCUUGGGCGAUGUAGACACUCUCAAUUCCAAAAAAUCUGAGCCUGAGAGAGGAAGGAACACUUGGACAUUUGCUUCUUUGUAAGGAUCCCUGACUGGUUAGAAUCAAUCUCAAUCUACAAAGGAUAGUGAAGCCUUAACCGGGUGAGAAAAUUGAAUACAUCUAGUAGCAGAUGACAUGAAAAGCAAUAGCAUUAAAUAUAGUGAGGAAAAAUGACUUUUAUAGUCUUUAUGAUAUUUAGUGAACACAAGUCCAAAUUAAAAAUCCAGGAAGCCAAAAUUAUAGAGCAUUUUCAAACUGAAAAAGCUUAUAAGACCUUUUGUAGCCAGAUGUGUUUCCUCUGCUGCGAAUCACCCUGCAGACUGUCUGAAAUUUAGGCAGGUUAUUUCUGAGUGAUAUCGUUAUGAAAUAGGAAGGGAACUUGCAACUAAGUCAUUUAGAGGGAAGGAAAAAGAAAGAAAAAAGAAAGUCAAAUUCCUUAUUUCCUGGGAGAUGUGCUGUUGGUUUGACAUUCUCAAGGUCUCAAAGCAAUGCCCAUCAGUCAAAGACAACCAGGCCUGGCCUCCGGAAAAGAGGCAGCCUAUAUUUUUAGAGGAAAGUAGGCAUGGAGGAAAGUGUGGGGCAGAUUUCAGAGUUUAUGUGUGUGAUAGCUCCCAUCUCAGACUGCUGAUGGAGCCACUCCAGGUGUUAGUCUGCACUUGAAAAGAACUAUCCAAGGUACUAGACCUAUUUUAGGAACAAAGUUCAGCACUUUGGACAGCACUUUUAAAUCCAGUAGUGGAGUCUAUAUCUCACUGAUAGGGCAAUUGACUCCAGGUUGAGACCGCUCAAUGGCUCUUCAUGAAACCUCUAAGAAUGGAAUUGUGAACAACCUCUUCUGAGUCUAAGAAAACCAUGAAUGCCAUAAACAAUCAACCUAUCUUAUCCUGACUCUUUAUAUUCUUAAGACCUGGUAGUCCUGUUUUCUAAGGGUGCAUCUACACUGUAGAAUUAAUGCAGUUUGAUGCCCUUUGAACUGCCCAUGGUUCAAUGUUAUGGAAUCAUGGGAUUUGUAGUUCUGUAAGACCUUUAGGAUUCUCUGACAAAGUUCUGAUGCCUUAGGUAAGGUAAAGGUUUCCCCUGACGUUAAGUCCAGGCAUGUCUGACUCUGGAGGUUGGUGCUCAUCUCCAUUUCUAAGCCAAAGAGCCGGCAUUGUCCGUAGACACCUCCAAGGUCAUGUGGCCAGCAUGACUGCAU
This is a long non-coding RNA of Anolis carolinensis (green anole), 4604 nucleotides long. RefSeq lists it as uncharacterized. The transcript has 5 exons. The record is from RefSeq and is a predicted model, not a curated record. Lineage: Eukaryota; Metazoa; Chordata; Lepidosauria; Squamata; Anolidae.